CAAUAGCGUAUAUUAUUUAUGUUGCAGUUGAAACGUUCGUAGUCGAACUUUGUCUGCUUAGCUAUUGCACCAUCGAGUAUGGCGUGGUAGUUUCAGCAGAUAUUGUGCAAAGGGUUGGCGCAUGUUUCAUGUGGCACACUUUUUGCAUCUUACUUUGAGUGAAUCGGCGUGUUCCACGCAGGCAAGUGCCUUGAACGAUUUACCAUAGCAUAAUCACAGUAUGGAAGUGUUCUCUUGUUUGUUCGAGGACAUUUCUGAUACUGAAAGGAACGGUUGAGGGCAUUCGUAUUCAACUGCCAGAGGUGAAAUUCUUUGAUUAGUUGAGGACGAACUAUUGCGAAAGCAUCUGCCAAGGACGUUUCCUUUGAC
Molecule: ribosomal RNA, 369 nt
Filed under: uncultured eukaryote
Lineage: Eukaryota
Description: partial 18S ribosomal RNA
Rfam family: Eukaryotic small subunit ribosomal RNA
Source: RNAcentral